AGCCCUCGAACACCUCCGUGUUCGUCUCUAGAUUUGCACU
RNAcentral lists this transfer RNA (40 nucleotides) under Eutropis rudis (rough mabuya). RNAcentral describes it as "partial tRNA-Cys". Lineage: Eukaryota; Metazoa; Chordata; Lepidosauria; Squamata; Scincidae. The record is from RNAcentral.